CCUACGGGUGGCAGCAGUGAGGAAUAUUGGUCAAUGGACGAGAGUCUGAACCAGCCAAGUAGCGUGAAGGAUGACUGCCCUAUGGGUUGUAAACUUCUUUUAUAUGGGAAUAAAAUGUUCCACGUGUGGGCUUUUGUAUGUACCAUAUGAAUAAGGAUCGGCUAACUCCGUGCCAGCAGCCGCGGUAAUACGGAGGAUCCGAGCGUUAUCCGGAUUUAUUGGGUUUAAAGGGAGCGUAGGUGGAUUGUUAAGUCAGUUGUGAAAGUUUGCGGCUCAACCGUAAAAUUGCAGUUGAAACUGGCAGUCUUGAGGACAGUAGAGGUGGGCGGAAUUCGUGGUGUAGCGGUGAAAUGCUUAGAUAUCACGAAGAACUCCGAUUGCGAAGGCAGCUCACUGGACUGCAACUGACACUGAGGCUCGAAAGUGUGGGUAUCAAACAGGAUUAGAUACCCUAGUAGUC
Molecule: ribosomal RNA, 460 nt
Filed under: uncultured bacterium
Lineage: Bacteria
Description: partial 16S ribosomal RNA
Rfam family: Bacterial small subunit ribosomal RNA
Source: RNAcentral